CGCGGGCGGGAUGCGGCGGGGGCCAGGCUGGCAUCUAGUAGUGUCUCCGGGCGGGCACGGGAGUUCUCCACCAGAUAUCACCAGAGAAGCCACUGAAAGACUUAAGAGACUCUCCUAAUACAGAACCGUAUUUUGGCUUCAUGUCCUGUGACCUGGCUAAGGAGAAGAUCUGUAAGUAUUGUUAGUAAAGGUGUUGAAUCCUUGUUAAAAUUGUCAUGCUGAAAUGUUUUGCUUAUUAGAUCUAUAGUAUA
Molecule: long non-coding RNA, 251 nt
Filed under: Crocodylus porosus (Australian saltwater crocodile)
Lineage: Eukaryota; Metazoa; Chordata; Crocodylia; Crocodylidae
Description: lncRNA (ENSCPRG00005007476.1)
Source: RNAcentral